UAGGGAAUAUUGCAAAAUGGGCGAAAGCCCGAUGCAGCAACGCCGCGUGGGCGAUGAAGGCCUUCGGGUCGUAAAGCCCUUUUUGAGGGGAUGAGGAAGGACAGUACCCUCAGAAUAAGCCUCGGCUAACUACGUGCCAGCAGCCGCGGUAAAACGUAGGAGGCGAGCGUUAUCCGGAUUUACUGGGCGUAAAGCGCGUGCAGGCGGAUUGGAGAGUUGGAUGUGAAAGCUCCCGGCUUAACUGGGAGAGGUCGUUCAAUACUUCCAGUCUUGAGUGCAGUAGAGGGAAGUGGAAUCCCGGGUGUAGUGGUGAAAUGCGUAGAUAUCCGGAGGAACACCAGUGGCGAAAGCGGCUUCCUGGACUGUAACUGACGCUCAGACGCGAAAGCUAGGGUAGCAAACG
This 403-nucleotide ribosomal RNA is filed under the name uncultured bacterium. RNAcentral's name for it is "bacterial SSU rRNA". It matches the Rfam family "Bacterial small subunit ribosomal RNA", at positions 355 to 774 of the family's 1533-position model. The record is from RNAcentral.